AAGACUCCAGAGGGAAAAAAAAAACUCCAAAGACUCCAGAAAAAGGACCCCAGGAGCUAGGCUAUUGUCUCGAAUGCCUGACGAAAAUACAACAUUUCCACCUUCAGAUUAGUGCCUGUGGGGAAAGCGCCUGAAGAAUUCAGAAUAAAUGCGUCCUCGGGGAAAAAGACGCGUCCCAGCAGCCGAAGAUCGGUGACGAGACUAGUCCCGGAAAGCACAAAUACUGAUACAUGUGGACAUAAUUUUCUGUUUGAUAAGAGAUGGAGAAAUGGAAUGUUUUCCAAGAAUAAUUUCAAAGAUGGCGAACCCGUCAAACCCACAUCUAUUUUGCCUCCGGUUUCUCUGGAUUUCCAAAAUCAUCAAUCACACAUUUUAAACAAGUUAUUGAAUCAGAAGCAACUAUUUUAUGGAAUUACAAAGCCCUGUAGUUUUGGGUCCUAUGAGGAAUAUGGUCUAGUGUCAGUCCCAUCAGUUAAGUUAUCAGUUACCACCCCACCUAUCAGUGGAAGGAACAAUGUUACUGGAGGUUUCAAAAACAGACCAAGGGUAAAUAAAAGAGGAUGUAAUCACUUCACCGCUGGAUUUAACACCUCAAACCAGUCCUACCCUGAUCCUGUCCCAGGGGCUCCAGCACUAUUCCUCCAGAGGCUUCUGGAGAUCUCCUCUCUGGAAGGGGAAACGGUGCACGAGGAGAAGAGUAAAAAUCCUAAAAAGAGCCACAGGCAGGAGUCCUGACGAAAAACUACUGCUCACAGAGAAAAAGAGCUUAUUGUACAGUGCCAAAGAGAUGGCAACAAAGAGGCAAGGAAAAACAUAAUGUAGU
Non-coding RNA from Electrophorus electricus (electric eel), 823 nucleotides. The record is from RefSeq and is a predicted model, not a curated record. NCBI's taxonomy places the organism in Eukaryota, Metazoa, Chordata, Actinopteri, Gymnotiformes, Gymnotidae.